UCGUGGGAGAGCCCAAACAUGAUAGCAUCAGAGAACAGGACAACUGGAGAAACAGGAGACAACAUCACAAAUAUCCAUGAUACACUGUACAGGUGGUCAGUCACCUUGAGGGUAGACAGUGAUGGGGAGUGUGAGCAUGAUCCUCUUGGACAGGAACGUCGGGUGACCCUCGUCUCGUGGGUACAGGGGAAGCCACACCUACACAACACCUCCACAGGCGAGCCAGAGUGACUCCAUAAGGUGGUGUGUGUGUGAGGGGGCGUGGUAGGGCGGAGUCCACACAGCCUCCACCGAGCCAGCCAGACACACGGGGG
This is a long non-coding RNA of Halichondria panicea, 314 nucleotides long. RefSeq lists it as uncharacterized. The record is from RefSeq and is a predicted model, not a curated record. The transcript is spliced from 3 exons. NCBI's taxonomy places the organism in Eukaryota, Metazoa, Porifera, Demospongiae, Suberitida, Halichondriidae.